Molecule: ribosomal RNA, 253 nt
Filed under: uncultured bacterium
Lineage: Bacteria
Description: partial 16S ribosomal RNA
Rfam family: Bacterial small subunit ribosomal RNA
Source: RNAcentral
UACGUAGGGUGCGAGCGUUGUCCGGAAUUAUUGGGCGUAAAGAGCUUGUAGGCGGUCUGGCGCGUCUGCUGUGAAAAUCCGGGGCUCAACCCCGGACUUGCAGUGGGUACGGGCAGACUAGAGUGUGGUAGGGGAGACUGGAAUUCCUGGUGUAGCGGUGAAAUGCGCAGAUAUCAGGAGGAACACCGAUGGCGAAGGCAGGUCUCUGGGCCACUACUGACGCUGAGAAGCGAAAGCAUGGGGAGCGAACAGG